Molecule: ribosomal RNA, 408 nt
Filed under: uncultured bacterium
Lineage: Bacteria
Description: partial 16S ribosomal RNA
Rfam family: Bacterial small subunit ribosomal RNA
Source: RNAcentral
GACGAACGCUGGCGGCGUGCUUAACACAUGCAAGUCGAACGAAGUGGCGAACGGGUGCGUAACGCGUAAUCAACCUGCCCUUCAGAGGGGGUCAACAGUUGGAAACGACUGCUAAUACCGCAUACUGAUGGAGGGGAUGGCGUCGGAUUAGCUAGUUGGAGGGGUAACGGCCCACCAAGGCGAGGAUCAGGAGCCUGGCUGAGGUGAUGAACGGCCACAUUGGGACUGAGACACGGCCCAGACGCCUACAGGAGGCAGCAGUGGGGAAUCUUCCGCAAUGGACGAAAGUCUGACGGAGCAACGCCGCGGGAUGGAUGACGGCCUUCGGGUUGGAAAGGUCUGUUAAUCGGGACGCGGUACCGGAAGAGGAAGCAACGGCUAACUACGUGCCAGCCGCCGCGGUAAUUC